AUGGUUGCAGGUGGUGCCACUCACAAGAGACCUCCUGCUGAUGACAUAAUGAUGCACCAAGAGGAGCCUGCAAACACGGAUGCAAAAAAUGAUCAUCACAUUGCCAUCUAUUUCAUCGACUCACCCCAACAAACAGACGACAGAUUGAUCCUGAGCGACAAGACCAAUGGCCAGGAGGAUUACUCAUUUCAGCACCACCUGCAAACACCAAGCUCGCCGCCCUGCUACUCCACCGACCACAUGCUCCGCGCUGACCAAAGACACUACAACAGCAACAAUGGCUCCCCUUCUUCUUCCCAGCAGCAGCAGCAGCAUGAGCGCUCUUCUUCCCAGCAGCAGCAGCAGCAUGAGCGCUCUUCUAACCCACCAAGAAGAAGACAGUCGAGAAGGCGACGCUUGGCGGCGGCGGUGCCGUUCGUGAGGAAGAUCAAGUGGGGACCAUUGUGGGAUAAGUCCAAGGAGUGGAUCAAGAACCCCAUGAACAUGGCCCUCUUCGUGUGGAUCGUCGCCGUGGGCAUCUCCGGCGCCAUCCUCUUCAUGGUCAUGACCGGGAUGCUCAACGCCGUGCUGCGGACCAAGUCGCAGAAGGACACGUGGUUCGAGGUCAACAACCAGAUACUGAACGCAUUGUUUACCUUGAUGUGCCUGUACAACCACCCCAGGAGGUUCUACCACCUGGCGCUGCUGUGCCGGUGGAGGGCCGGCGACAUGGCCGCGCUCCGGGAGGUCUACUGCAAGGGCGGCACCGUCAAGCCCAACGAGAGGAGGCACAUGAUGGUUGUGGUCUUGCUGCUCCACCUCAACUGCUUGGCGCAGUACGCGCUGUGCGGCCUCAACCUCGGCCUCUCCAGGAACCGGCGGCCUCCCGUGGGGGUCGGCCUCACCGUGACGGUUGCGAUAUGCGCCCCGGCCGUUGCCAGCAUGUACAACAACCUCAGCCCCCUGGGGAAAGACUACGAGGUCCAGGCCGCCGACGACGAGGAGCAGGAGUCUUCUUCUUCGGGCUCGCGGCAGCGGCUCCAGCACAAGACCGUCGAGAGGAGGUACUCCUUCUCCCCUUCUCCGCCGCAGCGACAAGGACUAGAAAUGGGCGCUGCCGGUGCCGUCGUCGUUGAGGUGGGAGAAGAAGAAGAAGGCACCGUGGCAGUGGCGGCGCCUGAGUGGUCGGGCGGGCUGGUGUGGGACCUGUGGGAGGACAUCUCGCUGGCGUACCUGUCGCUGUUCUGCAGCUGCUGCGUGUUCGGGUGGAACGCCGGGCGUCUGGGGUUCGGCAAUGCGUACGUGCACGCGGCGACUUUCAUCCUGCUGUGCCUGGCGCCCUUCUUCAUCUUCACCCUGGCGGCCAUCAACAUCGACGACGAGGCGGCCAGGCUCGCGCUCAGCCUCGGCGGCACCCUGCUGUGCGUCUUAGGGCUGCUGUACGGUGGGUUCUGGAGGAUCCAGAUGCGCCGCAGGUUCGGGCUUCCCGGCAGCGGGUUUUGCUGUGGCAGGCCGGACGUGACGGACUGCUUCCAGUGGCUGUGCUGCUGCCCCUGCGCCCUCGCCCAGGAGGUCAGGACCGCCGACGCCUACGACAUUGUGCACCACAGGAUGGUGUCUCGCCGUCAAAGCCAAAGCCGCCGCGGAGAUGACGCCGGCGAAGAAGAAGCCAGCAGCUCCCGGGUGCAGAUGCAGCAGCCACUGAGGUUUGCAGGUGUUUUCGCUUCAGAUCAUGGUGGGGUGACCAACACCAACAGCAAUUCAGAUACCAGUAACACGAGUACAACACCCCCUGCGCUGCCUGUUGGCAUACAGAGACAGUAA
Molecule: ribosomal RNA, 1803 nt
Filed under: Triticum aestivum (bread wheat)
Lineage: Eukaryota; Viridiplantae; Streptophyta; Magnoliopsida; Poales; Poaceae
Description: partial small subunit ribosomal RNA
Source: RNAcentral